GUCCUGGAACAGGUUGUGUGAGCCCCUUGAGGCAUUCAUCCAACACCAUUUCCGAGAAAUCUCUGUUUCAAUCUGUUCCUGUAUGUUAGUUAUUGAAAAACAAGUUGACCUUUUUGUGUUCCUUGAGCCCAGUCAUGAAUGGCCCUUGUGACUGGGCCUCACACCAAACAACUCAUUACACAAAGAGGUAAGGUCCCAGACCACGCCAAAGCUUCCUGAGACCUCUCCUCAUCUGUGCAUGGACGGAUGACCAACUCUGGGGCCCAGGCUGUUGCUUCCCAGUAUAAUGAUGAAUCCGCCAUAGUCUGGUGAGUGUAGAGGCUGACUCUGGAGCCCAGGCUGUACCUUCUCGGUCUGGUGAUGAAUCCUCAAUCGUGUGUUUUCUCUGUGUAGGACGUGAGACUUUACGACCUGCUAAAAAUGAGCUUUCCUAAUAAUGUGGGACCUAUUCAUCUAAGAAUAAAUCAUCCGCUCCGUGACAGAUCAGACAGAACCUGAGACCAGAAACUCAUUUUCUUCUAAAAUGCUUUCUCUGAAAGAUUUUAAAAAGAAAAGGGGGAAAUGUAAAAGGAAAAUACAUCUUGAGACCCCCAAAUCACUAAGCCAAAGAAAGAGGUUAAGCUGAGAACUGCUUAGGGAAAAUCUUCCUUCCAUUCUAUUCCUAAAAACGAUAGCUCGUAAGAUUAAAAAAGCUACAUACCUGCCUCACAAGAAAUUUCCUUGCAGACAAAGGGCAUGCAGAACUCAAAGUCAUUCCUCUGCUCACUGAGAUAGAUAUGUAUUGAUUGUCUCCACUGGAAAGGCUAAUCAGAAACUCAAAAGAAUAACAUCGAAGGUGCCACUCCUGAGGAAAUCUCAACUGCACGACCCCUACUACGCCCCAAUUCAGCAGGAAGCAGUUAGAGCGGUCGUGGGCCAACCUCCCCCAACAGCACUUGGGUUUUCCUGUUGAGAGGGGGACUGAAAGGCAGGACUAGCUGGAUUUCCUAGGCCGACUAAGAAUCCCUAAGCCUAGCCGGGAAGGUGACCGCCUCCACCUUUAAAACACAGGGCUUGCAACUUAGCUCACACUUGACCAAUCAGGUAGUAAAGAGAGCUCACUAAAACGCUAAUUAGGCUAAAACAGGAGGUAAAGAAAUAGCCAAUCAUCUAUUGCCUGAGAGCACAGGGGGAGGGACAAUGAUUGGGAUAUAAACCCAGGCAUUCAAGCUGGCAAGGGCAACCCCCUUUGGGUCCCCUCCCAUUUUAUGGGAGCUCUGUUUUCACUCUAUUAAAUCUUGCAACUGCGAAAAAAAAAAAAAAGAAUGCAACGGUUUGCCUUUUAUCUGCCUAUGACCUGGAAGCCCCCUCCCUGCUUUGAGUUGUCCUGCCUUUCAGGACUGAACCAAUGUACAUCUUACACAUAUUGAUUGAUGUCUCAUGUCUCUCUAAAAUGUAUAAACCAAGCCAUGCCCCGACCACCUUGGGCACAUGUCACCAGGGCCUCCUGAGGCUAUGUUACAGGCACAUGUCCUUAACUUUGGGAAAAUAAACUUUCUAAAUUGACUGGGAUCUUUCUCAGAUAUUUGGAACUCACUCUACACAGACACACAGACACACACACAAACACACUCACAAACAUGCACACACAAAUACACAUAUAUGUAUAUUUGUGUUAUAAACGUAUUAGUCCUUUUUCUGUAAUACAGAUUUUAAGUAAACUCCAGUGCUUCAUUUGUCUUUUUACUUUGCUUAUCGUUCUUUUUUUCUUUUAAGUUUUAAAACACUUUAGGGAAUAGGAAGAGCAAGAUGACUAAAAAAAUCUCUCCAAUGAUAACCCUACCACAGGAACACCGAAUUGAAUAACUAUACAUGCAAGAAAGAACUUCCAUAAAAACCAAAAAAAAAUAAGCAAUCACAGUACCUGAUUAUAACAUCAUAUCAAGAAAAGAAGCACUGAAGAGGGUAGCCAGGGUAGUCUUGCAUUGCCUACAUCAUCCCUCCUCCAUCCCCCAGCAGUACAAAGAGAGAUAAUGUAUGUGCUUGUGGGAGGGGGAGUCAAGGACUUUGGUAUUUGUAUUGGAAUUCAGUGCUACCUUGUCCCAGUGGAACACAACACAGGGCAGAAUUUAGCCAGUGCCAACAGAGGAGGCAUUUAGACUAACCCCAGUCAAAAGGUAAUCUUUUACUCCAGCAGUGGGAACCUGAGCUCUGGCUAGCUCCAUCAAUGCCUGAUUAAUGUAGCCUGGGGUCCUGGAUAAACUUGAAAGACAGUCAGGCUCAAGGCUUGCAGUCCUUGGGUAAGUCCUGUUGCUUUGCUGAGCUUGGAGACAGUGGUAUUGAGAUACCCACAGCUCAGUGAGACAAAAGCUGGAGUGGCCAAGGGAAUGCUUGCAUCAGCUCUUCUCCAACUCCAGGAAGCACAACUCAUAGCUCCAGGAGAGACUCCUUCCACUUGCAGAAAGGAAAAGGAAGAGUAAAAAGAACUUUGUCCUGUGACUUAGAUACACUUUCAGCCACAGUUUAAAAAUAACAAUAAUAAAAAAAUAAAAGCAUAAAGCAGAGUCCUGAGACCUCCAAUUCCAGACCCUAGGUCUUGGAUGACAUUUCUAAACCCACCCUGGGCUAGAAGGGAACCCACUAACCUGAAGUGAAAAACCAAGCCUUGGCAGGAUGCAACACAUGCUGACUAAAGGGACCUUGAUAGGGCUACAUGAGUGGUAGCCAGGCAGUAGUCACCAUGGGCCUUGGACUAGACCCAUUACCGUGCUGGCUUCAAGUGUGACCCAGCAUAGUCCCAACUUUGGUGGCCCUGGAAGUGUUUGCAUCAUCCCUCCCCCAAUUUCAGUCAGCCCAGCACAGAGAGACAAACACUUGUUUGGGGAAAAGUGAGAGAAGAGGAUGAGAGACUCCCUGGUAUUCCAGGAAAUGCUCCCAGAUCUUAUUCAAGUCCACCCAUGAUAUACCUCUGCAAGUAUGCAAAUAUGGCAUCACUACUGGACUUGUGGCACUCCCUAGUGCAGAUAUAGCUGCAGUAACCAAAGACUUAAGUUGCAACUCUAGAUAUGGGAAAGUCUUCUCGAGAAGUAUAAAUCCAAACAAGAAAGAACUGCAAAGAUUAGAAUACCUAAACUCUUCAGCGCCCAAACAUCAUGAACAUCAACAAGCAUCAAGAAUAUACAAGAAAACAUGACCUGACCAAAUGAACAAAAUAAGGCACCACUGACCAAUCCUGGAGUGAGAGACAUAUGUGACUUUUCAAAAGAGAACUCAAAAUAGGUUUUUUUGAGGAAGCUUAACCAAUUUCACAGUAACACAAAUAAGGAAUUUAGAAUUCUAUUAGAAAACAUUUACAAAGAGAUUGAAAUAAUAGAAAAAUCAAGUAGAUAUUUAGAAGUUUAAAAAUUCAAUUAACAAAAUGAAAACAUGCAUCAGAGUAUUUUAAUAGCAGAAAUUAUUAGGCUGAAAAAAAAUAGUGAACUUGGAGAUCGGCUACUGAAAAUGCACAGUAAGAGAAAGCAAAAGAAAAAAGGAUGAAAAAGAAUGAAGUAAACCAACAAGAUCUAGAAAAAGGCCUCAAAAAAAUCUAAUCAUUACUGGUCUAAAAGAGGAGGUAUAGCAAGAGGUUGGGGUAAAAGUCUAUUCAAAGAAAUAAUAACAGUGAACUUUUGAAACCUAAAGAAAGUUAUCAAUAUUCAAGUUUAAGAAAGUAAUAGAACACCAAGUGGAUUUAACACAUUAAGACUACUUCAAGACAUUCAAUAAUCAAACUCCCAAAACAAAAAGAUAAAGAAAGAAUCCUAAAUGCAGCAAGAAAAAACAAGCAAAUAACAUACAAAGGAGUGUCAGUAUCCAGUGAAAAUACCUUUAAAACAUAAAGGAGGCCAGGCACGGUGGCUCAUGCCUGUAAUCCCAGCACAUUAGCAGGCUGAGGCAGGUGGAUGCACGACGUCAGGAGUUUGAGACCAGCCCGGCCAACAUGGUGAAACCCCGUCUCUAGUAAAAAUACAAAAAUUAUCUGAGUGUUGUGGCGUGCACCUGUAACCCCAGCUGCUUGAGAGGCUGAGGCAAGAGAAUUGCUUGAACCCAGGAGUCAGAGGUUGUAGUGAGCCGAGAUCGGAGAUCGUGCCAUUGCACUCCAGCUGGGGUGACAGAGCAAGACUCUUUCACAAAAAAAAAAAAAAAAAAAAAAAAACACACACACGCACACACAUAAAGGAGAAAUAUUUUCCCAAUGAGCGUUAAGAAAUUUGGAAAACACCAGACCUGUCAUUCAAGAAAUGUAAAAGGAAGUUCUUGAUUCUAAAAAGAAAGAAUGUUAAUGAGCAAUAAGAAAUUAUCUAAAGGUAAAAACUCACAGGUAACAGUGAGUACACAAAGAAUAUUCUGACAAUGUAUUCGCUGUGUGUAAACCAUUCAUAUCUUGAGUAGUAAGACUAAAAGACAAACUUAUUUAAAAUAAUAACUAAAAUACUUUUUAAGGUGUAGAUACUGCAAAGGACAUGAACUCAUUCUUUUUUAUAGCUGCAUAGUAUUCCAUGAUGUAUAUGUACCACAUUUUCUUUAUGCAGUCUAACAUUGAUGGGCAUUUGGGUUGGUUCCAAGUCUUUGUUAUUGUGAAUAGUGCUUCAAUAAACAUGCGUGCAUGUGUCUUUAUAGUUGAAUGAUUUAUAAUCCUUUGGGUAUAUACCCUGUAAUGGCAUUGCUGAGUCAAAUGGUAUUUCUGGUUCUGGAUUCUUGAGUAAUCAACACACUGUCUUCUACAGUGGUUGAAUUAAUUUACACUCCCACCCACAGUAUAAAAGCGGAUACAUUACUAGACAUACACAACUUACCAAAAAAAAAAAAAAAUAGUAAAAGCAUUUCUAUUUCUCCACAUCCUCUCCAGCGUCUGUUGUUUCCUGACUUUUUAGUGAUUGCCAUUCUAACUGGCAUGAGAUGGUAUCUAAUUGUGGUUUGAUUUACAUUUCUCUAAUGACCAGUGAUGAUGAGCUUUUUUUCAUAUGUUUGUUGGCUGCAUAAAUGUCUUCUUUUGAAAAGUGUCUGUUUAUAUCCUUCGCCCACUUUUUGAUAAGGUUGUUUGCUUUUUUCUUGUAAAUUUGUUUAAGUUUCUUGUAAAUUCUGGAUAUUAGCCCUUUAUCAGAUGGAUAGAUUGCAAAAAUUUUCUCCCAUUCUGUAGGCUGCCUGUUCACUCUGAUGAUAGCUCCUUUUGCUGUGCCAAAGCACUUCAUUCUCAGCAAACUAACACAGGAAUAGAAAACCAAACACCACAUGUUCUCACUCAUAAGUGGAAGUUGAACAAUGAGAACAUAUGGGCAGAGGGAGG
This 5305-nucleotide long non-coding RNA is filed under the name Homo sapiens (human). Its description in RNAcentral is "HSALNT0284464". The record is from RNAcentral. Lineage: Eukaryota; Metazoa; Chordata; Mammalia; Primates; Hominidae.